UACGUAGGGUGCGAGCGUUGUCCGGAAUUAUUGGGCGUAAAGAGCUUGUAGGUGGCUCGUUGCGUCGGGAGUGAAAACCUGCGGCUUAACCGCAGGCCUGCUUCCGAUACGGGCGAGCUAGAGUUCGGCAGGGGAGACUGGAAUUCCUGGUGUAGCGGUGGAAUGCGCAGAUAUCAGGAGGAACACCGGUGGCGAAGGCGGGUCUCUGGGCCGAUACUGACACUGAGAAGCGAAAGCGUGGGGAGCGAACGGG
RNAcentral lists this ribosomal RNA (253 nucleotides) under uncultured bacterium. RNAcentral describes it as "partial 16S ribosomal RNA". It matches the Rfam family "Bacterial small subunit ribosomal RNA", at positions 524 to 776 of the family's 1533-position model. The record is from RNAcentral.